UACGAAGGGGGCUAGCGUUGCUCGGAAUUACUGGGCGUAAAGCGCACGCAGGCGGCGCAGCAAGUUCGACGUGAAAGCUCCCGGCUCAACUGGGAGAGGUCGUUGAAGACUGCUGUGCUUGAGGCAAUGAGAGGGGUGUAGAAUUCCCGGUGUAGUGGUGGAAUGCGUAGAUAUCGGGGGGAAUACCAGUGGCGAAAGCGGCACCCUAGCAUUAGCCUGACGCUCAUGUGCGAAAGCGUGGGGAGCGAACGGG
This 253-nucleotide ribosomal RNA is filed under the name uncultured bacterium. RNAcentral describes it as "partial 16S ribosomal RNA". It matches the Rfam family "Bacterial small subunit ribosomal RNA", at positions 524 to 776 of the family's 1533-position model. The record is from RNAcentral.